This 9938-nucleotide long non-coding RNA is filed under the name Gossypium barbadense (sea-island cotton). Its description in RNAcentral is "long non-coding RNA (GBAR_LNC021900)". Lineage: Eukaryota; Viridiplantae; Streptophyta; Magnoliopsida; Malvales; Malvaceae. The record is from RNAcentral.
UCAGAGAUGAUGGCGGAGGCAAGAGGACCUGUUAUUUCGUGUAGAUGCAGCAAAACCGAAGACUGUCAGGGUAUUUGCGCCGUGUGCCCCAACUAUAGCUGCAUUAAUAACCUUUGUACUUGCCUUUCAAACGCACCUCCAUUUCCAUAGUCUUAGAAUCUACACACUCCAACAGUUGAAUGAAAUGGUGGGAUUUUUUUGUGUAAUUUGAAAUAAAUUAUCAUGCAAUGGAUCUAAUAAGAAAAAAUAUUGUAAUUGUUGUAAUUUUAAUUUUCUUUUUACCCUUCUCUGCGCCUCCCCUCCCCCUUUCUAGUAGCGAAAAGUAUGUUACAUUUCAAAUAUAUAAAAAGAGUUACAAUCUUGUUUUAAAACUAAAAGAAAUAACAGUAAGAACAAAAGAUAGGAGAAAAAUUAAGACACAAAAUGAGAUGAUAAUUCUUCUUUCUACUUGUAUCUCAUAAGCUUGUAUAUGGCUUCAAUCUAUAGGGCUUCAACAAUGAUAGGCUAAAAAUAAUAUAAAUAGGAAUUUCAAAACUCGCAAUAACUUGAAUGGGUAUUUCAUAAGUUUCAAAUUCCACCGUAUUCUUUUGGUGGGGACACUUUGUUAAUUUAUUAACAACACUAUGCACUAGAUGUGUAUCAAAUGGAAACGUGCUCUGUUAAAACUUUAUUAGAAAAAAUUGCAUAAGCACCUAUUAUAAGCUAAAACAUAAAAGACAUUUCAUGGGAAAACUUAGCUGGACAAUACCUUGGGUAAAGGAAAGAGUAAACAUGUUUUAGACUCUCCCUAAUUUUAAAAAUAUUGAAACAUGGUACAAAUUUUGAAACAAUUUUUAGUUGCUAAAUACUUCGUCAAGGAGAACCAUACUAUGAAGACAUGCCUUUUUAAUUACAAUGAUAACCAUUGAGUUUCAUUGUAUACUCUAGGUUCAUUUGCCAAUAACUCUUUUGCACAUCAUAAUAUAGGUGGGGGCGAAUAAAACUUUAAAUUAAGCGACAUUAAUACAUGCAUUAAAGCCUCCAUUAAUUUCUUAGAAGUUUAUUUUUAUGUCCACAAUCAACAUUUUUCUUAUGCGGACAUGAGACCUUGCUAUUGCAUAUGACUUAAGGAAAACUGUAUAUUAAAUUUAGCCUCCUGGCUUUGUAGAUUUCUACAGCCUAUCUCUCUUUCUUACUCCGUUGCAAGGAUGUUCAUGUAGACCACCUGAUAGAUAGUUGUAUGGUUUCUUUAUUUUUAUUGAAACACAUAUCGAGUCUUUCUUGACAUCACUGUGACUUUAAUAGUCAUUACCAAUAUGGUUUGACUCUUGCAGGUUUUGAGUACAUUGGCGUGUCAUUCGGCCCAAUUAAAGGCUAUUAUUGUUGUUUCAAUUUGAGAUCGCUCUCUUCUAGUUUUUCUUCUUCUUUUCUCAUUUUGGUUUCCUACCCUUUAUAUGCUUGUUGUAGUAUUUUUCCUUAAGUUAAUUUUGGAAAUACAUAGAAUCUAUUGAAUGGAGUGCCAUUAAUCUUAUCAACAUUAUAUCUCAUCAUCUUCUUGCUUGUUUUUAGGAUCUUCAUGGCCAUGGUUAGACAAGAGUUUAUCUAUCUUGUAACACUUAUUUUGGGACAUGCAAUGUGCACAUUUUCUAUAAGUCCUACACUUUUACCUGUUGUUUCAAUGAGGCCAUCUUUAGGUAUUUCCCCCUCUAUUUAUUUCAUUAGUCAAAUUGGAUGUACUUUUAUGAACUUAAAUCAAACAAUCACUUUUUGCGUUUUUGUAACCUCUCUUUUCAGGUCUGAUAACAUCGAUCAAGAAGUUGAGCUCCUCCAUGGAUAGCAUUGGUUGUUUGUUUCCAUUUAUUCACAAUCUCUUGCAACAAAUUUUGACAUUUUAACUGUAGUGAUAGUUUUAUUAGCCUUGUAGCGAGCCCAAGAUACCAACUGCUCCCACCCAUGAUUUUGAAUUUUAAAUACUUUAUUUAAAUGAUUUUGAUGUUUAGAAAUUUAAAAAAUAAACUAAUUUUCUUUUAGGUGAGAAUUAACCAAAAAUUGGUAUUGCCUAUCCAUGAACCUCUUACCUCAAGUUGGUCUGGACUGUGAGGUCGAAAGAUAGGUAGUUGUUGCCAACUCAUUAGUUUAGUGGAAGAUCGAGAGAUCCUACUAGGUUAGCGACUAAUUGAUUGAGUAGAACCAAAAAUAGGAUUUAGUUAUGACCACUGAAGCGAGCUAAUCACUCAUGCUUAGAUUUUAUUGAAUCAAAUAUUACUUCUCCAUCUUUUUUAUUUUAUGCAAGCUUAUUUCUUUUCUUAUAAAAACAACUAUUUUUCACUUUAUGAUCAUCGUACUAUAAUUUAUUUAAGUUACUAAUUAGAUCUAUUUGCGUUUAGGUUAAUAUUAAUUUAGUACUUGUCUCCCUUGGGUACGAUCCUCGAGUACUCACCUACUUCGUUGUAAAACUAUAUUACAACCUGACUCGUAUACUUGAGGACACUGCCUCAAUUCAAUAUAUACUUUUAGCAAUAUUCACACUCUAGAUUCUAGUACGUCCGAAGGCGGUCACUUUCCAAAGUGGCGCGUAGUUUAUCUGCAAAUCAGUGGUGGCUCGUCUACAAUCCGGAGUGAUAUGUUAGACGAGUUCUGGGGAAUUCAUACGUGAGGUGUGUAGCGGAGUUGGGUAGGACUUUUCUGUUAAUUUGAAACUUCAAUGCAUUCAUAAGCACGUGCAUAUAAAAUUGUGAAUACCAAUAUAGUGAAGUGAAGCGUUUUAUGUGAAAAACAGUUAAUCUGAGGUGCUUUGUGGUUGUCUUUAAUCUCAGGAUUGCUAAUUCAUGUGCCUUAUUGGUUUGUUGUUUUAUUUUGAUUUUCUUGUGACUGAACUCACAUUGAGCUUCAUAGCUCACCGCCCUUUAGUUCCCAUCCUUAUAGAUAACCCACCAGGUUGGGAUGCGACAUAUGAAGGGUCGAAAAAGUUUUAAUGUUAUGAAAGUAUUGUUAUGCUUAUUUUAAAAUUUAUGUUAUUUCGGAACUGUACUCUAUUAUUUAUUUUCUAGCAUUGGAUUCAUAUUUAGGUUUUGGUUUUAUAUUGCAAGCAUGACAUAUAAAUUGUUGUUUUUAAGAUGAUGAAAUAAGGAUUUCAAUUAAAUAUGCAUGAAAUAUAGAUGUUAGUAAAACUCAUGAAAAGCCAUUUUUCCGCUGAAAGGUCAUAAUUAAAUUUUGUCUAAUAACUACAAUAUAACUAUGUUUCCAAUAGUUAUCACAUUUUACAAGAAAAAUAUUAGUUUAAUUGUAUUUUAUAUACCCAUGAUUUGUUUUCUAAAAAUAGACACAGUCUUUGUAAGGAUAAAAAAAUAUUUUAAUGUGCUAUUUAAAAUCUUCGAUUGCACUAGGCCAUCACGGUGGCCGAUGUAAUCUCCCGAACUCGGGCCUACCGUCUAGGCCAAUUUGGGGAGGUUACAAUUUCAAUGCCAUAAAGUACUAAAACCAUAUUUUCAAUCAUCUUCAGCAUUGAUUAUUUCAUAUUGAUAUGAGUUGAAUUAAAAUAUUUAAUUUGAACUUAUAAAUUUAUCAUAUUUAAGGGGAAAAAAAGUGGUUUUACUUCAAACAAAAAGAAGAGAUAAAUUGUUACCAACUAAAUUGAUGAACAAGAAUUUGAUAUGAUAUAUACGUGAAUACAAUAAAAAUACAUUAAUUGCGCUACAAUUGUGUAUAAUAUCCUUUUUAUUUAGUUAUAUUGUGUUUGUACAAAAUUUGUAAAGAUAAAAUACUAUGCAUCAAAUAUGUUCAAUUCUAAUUCUAAUUCUAAUUCUAAUUCUAAUUCCAGUUCCAAUUUGAGUUUGAACUUGAUUUGGAACACAAAAAUUGAGCAUGAUGCCAAGUAUGAGAAUCCAACUCAAGUCUUAUCAAAUAAACAAGCCUAAAUAAAUCUAGUAAAGCUAAUUAAAGCAGUUUAAUCUUUAUCUCGUAUCAAGUUUAUAUUUUAAAAGUUAAACUCAAUGAAGUUAUAUUGGAGCAUUCAAUUCUCUAGGUUUCUUUGGAGAUUGAGAUUGAAUUUCUUGGCUCAGUUCAACCCCAUUAAAUAACUUUAAAUUUUUUAUUUUGAUACAAUAGUUAAUAUUGUUUCCAAACUCAUAUAACUGGUUGUGUAGGAAGGGGUCAGGUUUUUUUGUGUGCUUUCUCUCACUACUAUCUCCAAAAUUUUAAUGCUUUUAGUAUUUUAAUAUUUGAAAAUUAUUAAAAAAUUUGUCUAGCAAGAAAAAUAUAAUUUAAUCUUUUCUUCUCCUAGACCACAAAAAAAAAAUUGGAACAUAUUUCCCAUUUGUUUCUAAACGGUUGGACUAAUAAUCAACUUAUUGGCAUCAUGCAUUCCAGAUUUGGUAACAUUAAUUUCCAUGACUACACUUAGAACAAAAUAAUGAUAAUUAGUAAACAAAAUCCCCAUCAAUCUUCUCAAGGAUGUUUUGCUGAUAUACUUUCCUUUUAGACAUAGUUUCAUAAGGAAAAAAAUAAAAACGUAAUAAUCUCAAAGAAUCCAAAGAAAUUAGUAUUCCUCCAUGCAACACAAAAUAAGAUACUAUAUAUAUUAAAUCCAUAAGCUAUAAAUUUCCACCAACAUAGUUAAUUAGAUAUAAAGAGAUGGCAAAGUUUUCAUUCAAUUUGUUUAUAUUUGCUGUCAUCUUAAUCUUUGCAACUCGUUAGUUUCUUCCUAUGCAGCUCUUUUCUUUCCUUUGGUAUAAAUAUUAUGUUUUUGUUUAAUUUAACACAAGGGAAUUUUUGUUGCAGACUCAGAGAUGAUGGCGGAGGCAAGAGGACCUGUUAUUUCGUGUAGAUGCAGCAAAACCGAAGACUGUCAGGGUAUUUGCGCCGUGUGCCCCAACUAUAGCUGCAUUAAAAACAUUUGUACUUGCCUUUCAAACGCACCUCCAUUUCCAUAGUCUUAGAAUCUACACACUCCAACAGUUGAAUGAAAUGGUGGGAUUUUUUUGUGUAAUUUGAAAUAAAUUAUCAUGCAAUGGAUCUAAUAAGAAAAAAUAUUGUAAUUGUUGUAAUUUUAAUUUUCUUUUUACCCGUCUCUGCCCCUCCCCCCCUUUCCAGUAGCGAAAAGCAUGUUACAUUUAAAAUCUAUAAAAAGAGUUACAAUCUUGUUUUAAAACUAAAAGAAAUAACAGUAAGAACAAAAGAUAGGAGAAAAAUUAAGACACAAAAUGAUAUGAUAAUUCUUCUUUCUACUUGUAUCUCAUAAGCUUGUAUAUGGCUUCAAUCUAUAGGGCUUCAACAAUGAUAGGCUAAAAAUAAUAUAAAUAGGAAUAUCAAAACUCGCAAUAACUUGAAUGGGUAUUUCAUAAGUUGCAAAUUCCACCGUAUUCUUUUGGUGGGGACACUUUGUUAAUUUAUUAACAACACUCUGCACUAGAUGUGUAUCAAAUGGAAACGUGCUCUGUUAAAACUUUAUUAGAAAAAAUUGCAUAAGCACCUAUUAUAAGCUAAAACAUAAAAGACAUUUCAUGGGAAAACUUAGCUGGACAAUACCUUGGGUAAAGGAAAGAGUAAACAUGUUUUAGACUCCCCCUAAUUUUAAAAAUAUUGAAACAUGGUACAAAUUUUGAAACAAUUUUUUGUUGCUAAAUACUUCGUCAAAGAGAAUCAUACUAUGAAGACAUGCCUUUUUAAUUACAAUGAUAACCAUUGAGUUUCAUUGUAUACUCUAGGUUCAUUUGCCAAUAGCUCUUUUGCACAACAUAAUAUAGGUGGGGGCGAAUCAAACUUUAAAUUAAGCGACAUUAAUACAUGCAUUAAAGCCUCCAUUAAUUUCUUAUAAGUUUAUUUUUAUAUCCACAAUCAACAUUUUUCUUAUGCGGACAUGAUACCUUGCUAUUGCAUAUCACUUAAGGAAAACUGUAUAUUAAAUUUAGCCUCAUGGCUUUGGAGAUUUCUACAUCCUAUCUCUCUUUCUUACUCCGUUGCAAGGAUGUUCAUGUAGACCACCUGAUAGAUAGUUGUAUGGUUUCUUUAUUCUUAUUGAAACACAUAUCGAGUCUUUCUUGACAUCACUGUGACUUUAAUAGUCAUUACCAAUAUGGUUUGACUCUUGCAGGUUUCGAGUACAGUGGCGUGUCAUUCGGCCCAAUUAAAGGCUAUUAUUGUUGUUUCAAUUUGAGAUCGCUCUCUUCUAGUUUUUCUUCUUCUUUUCUCAUUUUGGUUUCCUACCCUUUAUAUGCUUGUUGUAGUAUUUUUCCUUAAGUUAAUUUUGGAAAUACAUAGAAUCUAUUGAAUGGAGUGCCAUUAAUCUUAUCAACAUUAUAUCUCAUCAUCUUCUUGCUUGUUUUUAGGAUCUUUAUGGCCAUGGUUAGACAAGAGUUUAUCUAUCUUGUAACACUUAUUUUGGGACAUGCAAUGUGCACAAUUUCUAUAAGUCCUGCUCUUUUACCUGUUGUGUCAAUGAGGCCAUCUUUAGGUAUUUCCCCCUCUAUUUUGUUUCAUUAGUUAAAAUCAACCAAUCACUUUUUGUGUUUUUGUAACCUCUCUUUUCAGGUCUGAUAACAUCGAUCAUGAAGUUGAGCUCCUCCGUGGAUAGCCUUGGUUGUUUGUUUCCAUUUUUUCACAAUCUCUUGCAACAAAUUUUGAGAUUUUAAUUGUAUUGAUAGUUUUAUUAGCCUUGUAGCGAGCCCAAGAUACCAACUGCUCCCACCCAUGAUUUUAAAUUUUAAAUACUUUAUUUAAAUGAUUCUGAUGUUUAGAAAUUUAAAAAAUAAACUAAUUUUCUUCUAAAUUUUAUUACUUAGCGAUCCGCUGCUUGGGAGCGGAAGAACUUAAACCCUAGGCCAUACAAGACUAAGAAGUCAUCUAGGUGAGAAUUAACCCAAAAUUGGUAUUGCCUAUCCAUGAACCUCUUACCUCAAGUUGGUCUGGACUGUGAGGUCGAAAGAUAAGUACUUGUUGCCAACUCAUUAGUUUAGUGGAAGAUCGAGAGAUUCUACUAGGUUAGCGGCUAAUUGAUUGAGUAGAACCAGAAAUAGGAUUUAGUUAUGACCACAAAAGCGAGCUAAUCACUCAUGCUUAGAUUUUAUUGAAUCACAUAUUAGUUCUCCAUCUUUUUUAUUUUAUGCAAGUUUAUUUCUUUUCUUAUAAAAACAAUUGUUUUUCACUUUAUGAUCAUCGUACUAUAAUUUAUUUAAGUUACUAAUUAGAUCUAUUUUCGUUUAGGUUAAUAUUAAUUUAUUACUUGUCUGCCUUGGGUACGAUCCUCGAGUACUCACCUACUUCGUUGUAAAACUAUAUUACAACCUGACUCGUAUACUUGAGGAUACCGCCUCAAUUCAAUAUAUACUUUUAGCAAUAUUCACACUCUGGAUUCUAGUACCUCCGAAGGCGGUCACUUUCCAAAGUGGCGCGUAGUUUAUCUGCAAAUCAGUGGUGGCUCGUCUACAAUCCGGAGUGAUAUGUUAGACGAGUUCUGGGGAAUUCGUACGUGAGGUGUGUAGCGGAUUUGGGUAGGACUUUUCUGUUAAUUUGAAACUUCAAUGCAUUCAUAAGCACGUGCAUAUAAAAUUGUGAAUACCAAUAUAGUGAAGUGAAGCGUUUUAUGUGAAAAACCGUUAAUCUGAGGUGCCUUGUGGUUGUCUUUAAUCUCAGGAUUGCUAAUUCAUGUGCCUUAUUGGUUUGUUGUUUUAUUCUGAUUUUCUUGUGACUGAACUCACAUUGAGCUUCAUAGCUCACUGCCCUUUAGUUCCCAUCCUUGUAGAUAACCCACCAGGUUGGGAUGCGACAUAUGGAGGGCUCGAAAAAGUUUUAAUGUUAUGAAAGUAUUGUUAUGCUUAUUUUAAAAUUUAUGUUAUUUCGGAACUGUACUGUAUUAUUUAUUUUCUGGCAUUGGAUUCAUAUUUAGGUUUUGGUUUUAUAUUGCAAGCAUGACAUAUAAAUUUUUGUUUUUAAGAUGAUGAAAUAUGGAUUUCAAUUAAAUAUGCAUGAAAUAUAGAUGUUAGUAAAACUCAGGAAAAGCCAUUUUUCCGCUGAAAGGUCAUAAUUAAAUUUUGUCUAAUAACUACAAUAAAACUAAGUUCACAAUAGUUAUCACCUUUUACAAGAAAAAUAUUAGUUUAAUUGUAUUUUAUAUACCCAUGAUUUGUUUUCUACAAAUAGACAGAGUCUUUGUAAAGAUAAAAAAUGUUUUAAUGUGACUAUUUAAAAUGUUCGAUUUCUCUAGGCCAUCAUGGUGGCCGAUGUAAUCUCCCGACCUCGGGCCUACCGUCUAGGCCAAUUUGGGGAGGUUACAAUUUCAAUGCCAUAAAGUACUAAAACCAUAUUUUCAAUCAUCUUCAGCAUAAAUUAUUUCAUAUUGAUAUGAGUUGAAUUAAAAUAUUUAAUUUGAACUUAUAAAUUUGCCAUAUUUAAGGGGAAAAAAAGUUGUUUUACUUCAAACAAAAAGAAGAGAUAAAUUGUUACCAACUAAAUUGAUGAACAAGAAUUUGAUAUGAUAUAUACGUGAAUACAAUAAAAAUACAUUAAUUGCGCUACAAUUGUGUAUAAUAUCCUUUUUAUUUAGUUAUAUUGUGUUUGUACAAAAUUUGUAAAGAUAAAAUACUAUGCAUCAAAUAUGUUCAAUUCUAAUUCUAAUUCUAAUUCUAAUUCUAAUUCCAGUUCCAAUUUGAGUUUGAACUUGAUUUGGAACACAAAAAUUGAGCAUGAUGCCAAGUAUGAGAAUCCAACUCAAGUCUUAUCAAAUAAACAAGCCUAAAUAAAUCUAGUAAAGCUAACUAAAGCAGUUUAAUCUUUAUCUCGUAUCAAGUUUAUAUUUUAAAAGUUAAACUCAAUGAAGUUAUAUUGGAGCAUUCAAUUCUCUAGGUUUCUAUGGAGAUUGAGAUUGAAUUUCUUGGCUCAGUUCAACCCCAUUAAAUAACUUUAAAUUUUUUAUUUUGAUACAAUAGUUAAUAUUGUUUCCAAACUCAUAUAACUGGUUGUGUAGGAAGGGGUCAGGUUAUUUGUGUGCUUUCUCUCACUACUAUCUCCAAAAUUUUAAUGCUUUUAGUAUUUUAAUAUUUGAAAAUUAUUAAAAAAUUUGUCUAGCAAGAAAAAUAUAAUUUAAUCUUUUCUUCUCCUAGACCACAAAAAAAAUUGGAACAUAUUUCCCAUUUGUUUCUAAACGGUUGGACUAAUAAUCAACUUAUUGGCAUCAUGCAUUCCAGAUUUGGUAACAUUAAUUUCCAUGACUACACUUAGAACAAAAUAAUGAUAAUUAGUAAACAAAAUCCCCAUCAAUCUUCUCAAGGAUGUUUUGCUAAUAUACUUUCCUUUUAGACAUAGUUUCAUAAGGAAAAAAAUAAAAACGUAAUAAUCUCAAAGAAUCCAAAGAAAUUAGUAUUCCUCCAUGCAACACAAAAUAAGAUACUAUAUAUAUUAAAUCCAUAAGCUAUAAAUUUCCACCAACAUAGUUAAUUAGAUAUAAAGAGAUGGCAAAGUUUUCAUUCAAUUUGUUUAUAUUUGCUGUCAUCUUAAUCUUUGCAACUCGUUAGUUUCUUCCUAUGCAGCUCUUUUCUUUCCUUUGGUAUAAAUAUUAUGUUUUUGUUUAAUUUAACACAAGGGAAUUUUUGUUGCAGACUCAGAGAUGAUGGCGGAGGCAAGAGGACCUGUUAUUUCGUGUAGAUGCAGCAAAACCGAAGACUGUCAGGGUAUUUGCGCCGUGUGCCCAAACUAUAGCUGCAUUAAAAACAUUUGUACUUGCCUUUCAAACGCACCUCCAUUUCCAUAGUCUUAGAAUCUACACACUCCAACAGUUGAAUGAAAUGGUGGGAUUUUUUUUGUGUAAUUUGAAAUAAAUUAUCAUGCAAUGGAUCUAAUAAGAAAAAAUAUUGUAAUUAGGGUAAUUUUAAUUUUCUUUUUACCCGUCUCUGCCCCUCCCCCCCUUUCCAGUAGCGAAAAGCAUGUUACAUUUAAAAUCUAUAAAAAGAGUUACAAUCUUGUUUUAA